UAACGAAUCUUCCCCAAUGCACGCAAGUGUGAGGGAGCGACGCCGCGUGGAGGACGAAGUUCUUCGGAAUGUAAACUCCUGUCAGGGGUUAGAAAGUUCUGAUCAACCCCAGAGGAAGAGGCGGCUAACUCUGUGCCAGCAGCCGCGGUAAUACAGAGGCCUCAAGCGUUAGGCGGAAUCACUGGGCUUAAAGCGUGUGUAGGCGGAUGCCUAAGUGCCUUGUGAAAUCCCACGGCUCAACCGUGGAGCUGCAGGGCAUACUGGGUGUCUUGAGCCAUCCAGGGGUCGCUGGAACAAACGGUGGAGCGGUGAAAUGCGUAGAUAUCGUUUGGAACGCCAAAGGUGAAGACAGGCGACGUGGGGAUGUGCUGACGCUGAGACACGAAAGCCAGGGGAGACAAACGGGAUUAGAUACCCCGGUAGUCCUGGCCCUAAACGAUGUCCACUAGAUUAUGG
This 456-nucleotide ribosomal RNA is filed under the name uncultured bacterium. RNAcentral describes it as "bacterial SSU rRNA". It matches the Rfam family "Bacterial small subunit ribosomal RNA", at positions 355 to 826 of the family's 1533-position model. The record is from RNAcentral.